CCUACGGGAGGCUGCAGUGAGGAAUAUUGGUCAAUGGUCGGGAGCCUGAACCAGCCAAGUCGCGUGAGGGAUGACGGCCCUAUGGGUUGUAAACCUCUUUUGCCGGGGAGCAAAGUGCGGCACGUGUCCGCUUUUGAGUGUACCCGGAGAAAAAGCAUCGGCUAACUCCGUGCCAGCAGCCGCGGUAAUACGGAGGAUGCGAGCGUUAUCCGGAUUUAUUGGGUUUAAAGGGUGCGUAGGCGGACUGUUAAGUCAGCGGUAAAAGUGCGGGGCUCAACCUCGUCGAGCCGUUGAAACUGGGAGCCUGGAGUGGGCGAGAAGUACGCGGAAUGCGUGGUGUAGCGGUGAAAUGCAUAGAUAUCACGCAGAACUCCGAUUGCGAAGGCAGCGUACCGGCGCCCAACUGACGCUGAAGCACGAAGGCGUGGGUAUCGAACAGGAUUAGAUACCCCUGUAGUC
RNAcentral lists this ribosomal RNA (459 nucleotides) under uncultured bacterium. RNAcentral's name for it is "partial 16S ribosomal RNA". It matches the Rfam family "Bacterial small subunit ribosomal RNA", at positions 338 to 795 of the family's 1533-position model. The record is from RNAcentral.